This 21-nucleotide non-coding RNA is filed under the name Mus musculus (house mouse). Lineage: Eukaryota; Metazoa; Chordata; Mammalia; Rodentia; Muridae. The record is from RNAcentral.
UGGCUCAGUUCAGCAGGAACC